RNAcentral lists this ribosomal RNA (498 nucleotides) under uncultured bacterium. Its description in RNAcentral is "partial 16S ribosomal RNA". It matches the Rfam family "Bacterial small subunit ribosomal RNA", at positions 28 to 507 of the family's 1533-position model. The record is from RNAcentral.
GACGAACGCUGGCGGCGUGCCUAAUACAUGCAAGUCGAACGAGAGCGACCGGUGCUUGCACUGGUCAAUCUAGUGGCGAACGGGUGAGUAACACGUGGGUAACCUGCCCAUCAGAGGGGGAUAACAUCCGGAAACGGAUGCUAAAACCGCAUAGGUCUUCGAGCCGCAUGGCUUGAAGAGGAAAAGAGGCGCAAGCUUCUGCUGAUGGUUGGACCCGCGGUGCAUUAGCUAGUUGGUGAGGUAACGGCUCACCAAGGCCGUGAUGCAUAGCCGACCUGAGAGGGUGAUCGGCCACAUUGGGACUGAGACACGGCCCAAACUCCUACGGGAGGCAGCAGUAGGGAAUCUUCCGCAAUGGACGCAAGUCUGACGGAGCAACGCCGCGUGAGUGAAGAAGGUUUUCGGAUCGUAAAACUCUGUUGUUAGAGAAGAACAAGUGCUAGAGUAACUGUUAGCGCCUUGACGGUAUCUAACCAGAAAGCCACGGCUAACUACGUG